Molecule: ribosomal RNA, 253 nt
Filed under: uncultured bacterium
Lineage: Bacteria
Description: partial 16S ribosomal RNA
Rfam family: Bacterial small subunit ribosomal RNA
Source: RNAcentral
UACGGAGGGUGCGAGCGUUAUCCGGAAUUACUGGGUUUAAAGGGUGCGUAGGCGGCUUGGUAAGUCAGGAGUGAAAGUUUGCGGCUCAACCGUAAAAUUGCUUUUGAUACUGCCAGGCUAGAAUCAGGAUGAGGUCAGCGGAAUGUGGCAUGUAGCGGUGAAAUGCAUAGAUAUGCCAUAGAACACCUAUUGCGAAGGCAGCUGGCUAGACCUGUAUUGACGCUGAGGCACGAAAGCGUGGGGAGCGAACAGG